Molecule: ribosomal RNA, 225 nt
Filed under: uncultured bacterium
Lineage: Bacteria
Description: partial 16S ribosomal RNA
Rfam family: Bacterial small subunit ribosomal RNA
Source: RNAcentral
AGUAACGCGUGGGUAACCUGCCUCAUACAGGGGGAUAACAGUUAGAAAUGACUGCUAAUACCGCAUAAGCGCACAGUGCUGCAUGGCGCAGUGUGAAAAACUCCGGUGGUAUGAGAUGGACCCGCGUCUGAUUAGCUAGUUGGUGGGGUAACGGCCUACCAAGGCGACGAUCAGUAGCCGGCCUGAGAGGGUGAACGGCCACAUUGGGACUGAGACACGGCCCAA